This 567-nucleotide ribosomal RNA is filed under the name uncultured bacterium. RNAcentral's name for it is "bacterial SSU rRNA". It matches the Rfam family "Bacterial small subunit ribosomal RNA", at positions 338 to 916 of the family's 1533-position model. The record is from RNAcentral.
CCUACGGGAGGCAGCAGUGGGGAAUAUUGGGCAAUGGAGGAAACUCUGACCCAGCGACGCCGCGUGCGGGAUGAAGGCCUUCGGGUUGUAAACCGCUUUCAGCAGGGAAGAAGCGAAAGUGACGGUACCUGCAGAAGAAGCACCGGCUAACUAUGUGCCAGCAGCCGCGGUAAUACAUAGGGUGCAAGCGUUGUCCGGAAUUAUUGGGCGUAAAGAGCUCGUAGGUGGUUCGUCACGUCGGAUGUGAAAAUCUGGGGCUUAACCCCAGACCUGCAUUCGAUACGGGCGAGCUUGAGUAUGGUAGGGGAGUCUGGAAUUCCUGGUGUAGCGGUGGAAUGCGCAGAUAUCAGGAGGAACACCAAUGGCGAAGGCAGGACUCUGGGCCAUUACUGACACCGAGGAGCGAAAGCGUGGGGAGCGAACAGGAUUAGAUACCCUGGUAGUCCACGCCGUAAACGGUGGGCACUAGUUGUGGGGACCUUCCACGGUCUCUGCGACGCAGCUAACGCAUUAAGUGCCCCGCCUGGGGAGUACGAUCGCAAGAUUAAAACUCAAAUGAAUUGACGG